RNAcentral lists this ribosomal RNA (116 nucleotides) under Loxosomella plakorticola. RNAcentral describes it as "partial 18S ribosomal RNA". It matches the Rfam family "Eukaryotic small subunit ribosomal RNA", at positions 1712 to 1831 of the family's 1831-position model. Lineage: Eukaryota; Metazoa; Entoprocta; Loxosomatidae. The record is from RNAcentral.
GGAUCGGGCGCUAAGGGGCUUCCCUAAGCGACUGAGAAGAUGAUCGAACUUGAUCAUUUAGAGGAAGUAAAAGUCGUAACAAGGUUUCUGUAGGUGAACCUGCAGAAGGAUCAUUA